UACGUAGGGGGCAAGCGUUGUCCGGAAUUAUUGGGCGUAAAGAGCUCGUAGGCGGCUUGUCGCGUCGGCUGUGAAAACCUGGGGCUCAACCCCGGGCCUGCAGUCGAUACGGGCAGACUAGAGUGCGGUAGGGGAGACUGGAAUUCCUGGUGUAGCGGUGAAAUGCGCAGAUAUCAGGAGGAACACCGGUGGCGAAGGCGGGUCUCUGGGCCGUAACUGACGCUGAGGAGCGAAAGCGUGGGGAGCGAACAGG
Molecule: ribosomal RNA, 253 nt
Filed under: uncultured bacterium
Lineage: Bacteria
Description: partial 16S ribosomal RNA
Rfam family: Bacterial small subunit ribosomal RNA
Source: RNAcentral